CGUACACUCCUACGGGAGGCAGCAGUGGGGAAUAUUGGACAAUGGGCGCAAGCCUGAUCCAGCCAUGCCGCGUGAGUGAUGAAGGCCCUAGGGUUGUAAAGCUCUUUCACCGGUGAAGAUAAUGACGGUAACCGGAGAAGAAGCCCCGGCUAACUUCGUGCCAGCAGCCGCGGUAAUACGAAGGGGGCUAGCGUUGUUCGGAUUUACUGGGCGUAAAGCGCACGUAGGCGGACUAUUAAGUCAGGGGUGAAAUCCCGGGGCUCAACCCCGGAACUGCCUUUGAUACUGGUAGUCUUGAGUUCGAGAGAGGUGAGUGGAAUUCCGAGUGUAGAGGUGAAAUUCGUAGAUAUUCGGAGGAACACCAGUGGCGAAGGCGGCUCACUGGCUCGAUACUGACGCUGAGGUGCGAAAGCGUGGGGAGCAAACAGGAUUAGAAAUCCUGGUAGUCCC
Molecule: ribosomal RNA, 450 nt
Filed under: uncultured organism
Description: partial 16S ribosomal RNA
Rfam family: Bacterial small subunit ribosomal RNA
Source: RNAcentral